UUGACCUCGGAUCANGUAGGAAUACCCGCUGAACUUAA
This 38-nucleotide ribosomal RNA is filed under the name Rosellinia necatrix. Its description in RNAcentral is "partial 28S ribosomal RNA". The record is from RNAcentral. RNAcentral also lists the same sequence under 3 other names. Lineage: Eukaryota; Fungi; Ascomycota; Sordariomycetes; Xylariales; Xylariaceae.